UAGAACCGAUAAUCCCCGUUAAACCUCACCUUUCCUUGUUUUUACCGCCUAUAUACCGCCGUCGUCAGCUUACCCUGUGAAGGCCCCAUAGUAAGCAAAAUUAGCAUAGCUCAGUACGUCAGGUCGAGGUGUAGCGCAUGGAGAGGGAACAGAUGGGCUACUACGAAUUAUGCAUUGAAAUAUGCAUAUGAAGGAGGAUUUAGUAGUAAGCCGGAAAUAGAGUGUCCCGCUGAAAGGCCCUAAAGCGUGCACACACCGCCCGUCACUCUCCCCAAACUUAUACUAAAACCCUACAAUCUAAGGGGAGGCAAGUCGUAACAUGGUAAGCGUACCGGAAGGUGUGCUUGGAUAAAC
This 354-nucleotide ribosomal RNA is filed under the name Serranus scriba (painted comber). RNAcentral describes it as "partial 12S ribosomal RNA". It matches the Rfam family "Bacterial small subunit ribosomal RNA", at positions 946 to 1527 of the family's 1533-position model. The record is from RNAcentral. Lineage: Eukaryota; Metazoa; Chordata; Actinopteri; Perciformes; Serranidae.